RNAcentral lists this ribosomal RNA (253 nucleotides) under uncultured bacterium. Its description in RNAcentral is "partial 16S ribosomal RNA". It matches the Rfam family "Bacterial small subunit ribosomal RNA", at positions 524 to 776 of the family's 1533-position model. The record is from RNAcentral.
UACAGAGGGUGCGAGCGUUAAUCGGAAUUACUGGGCGUAAAGCGCACGUAGGCGGCUUGGUAUGUCGGGUGUGAAAUCCCCGGGCUCAACCUGGGAACUGCAUCCGAAACUGCCUUGCUAGAGUAUGGGAGAGGGAAGUGGAAUUUCCGGUGUAGCGGUGAAAUGCGCAGAUAUCGGGAAGAACACCCGUGGCGAAGGCGGCUCUCUGGGACGGUACUGACGCUGAGACGCGAAAGCGUGGGGAGCGAACAGG